Molecule: long non-coding RNA, 1978 nt
Filed under: Bemisia tabaci
Lineage: Eukaryota; Metazoa; Arthropoda; Insecta; Hemiptera; Aleyrodidae
Description: lncRNA ENSSSA2NGG002902
Source: RNAcentral
GCCAAAUAAAGUCAAAAGACCUACGUCUGUAGUCCUUCAGUCAAAAUGGGUGAGGGAAGAGCAAAGGAGGAAGAGGGAAAUAACCAAAGUGGAAAUUUUUACCUGAAAAUCGCACAGUUCUUUCCAUUUCAUGUCUAGAGGUGUGGGACCAUUUAGUGUCUUAGCCGUGAGACUUUCAAUGAAUUUAUCAAACUUCUCUACUUCUUGGGUGAACUGAUUUAAGACUUCAGGAUCAUCAAAUGGAUCUUUUGAUGCAGGUCUGUGGGGAGAUAUUUUGUCAUCAACUGCUGGCACAGAGAGAGGCGGCAACUGUAAAAAACGAUUGAGACCAUGCUUUAAAAUUGAAACCACAAGAAAGCACGAUCUUGGCCCUUUGAAUUACUGGAGACUACCAAUAAAUGGGUGCUUUCUUUCAACUGUACGUUUUUCAGAUUUUCAACAAAAGACAGCUUCAUUUUUCGGUAUGGUACCAACGGCAAAUAGAUCACUUGUCAGUACUGUACCGACAGCAAAUAAACUACUCAUCAAUAUCUUCCUGACAGCAAACGUGUUAUUCAUCAGUACUGGUGUUCUGAAAAAUUACCACAACAGACGUUGAAAAAAAAGUGCAUGAUGAGAAAAUGAGAAAAUAUAAAAAUGCAACAAAAACUCGACAUAAAUACAGCAAGGGACAUCAACUGCUGCAGCUCUGGGGCUCACCUCUUGAUAUGUACUUAUAUUUAAAAGUAAGUUGGGAUUUUUAGAAAAGAUACACUAGAAACAACUGAUACAGAAACAUGUUACAUGUACUGGAACGUACUCACAUUCACUGGAAACCUGUUAAAAUCAUGAUUUUUCCUCUAAUUGUGUUUUUUUAUCCUUUAGAACUUACGUGACUUUAGUUAAAAUUCCGGCACCAAUCAAAGCAUUUACAUAGGGAGUAAUUUUUGUUCCCAAAAAAUUUAAAUGAGAUUACCCCUCAAAAUUCUGUACUGCACUUCUGUUACCUACUUUAAUGUCAGAGGUUUUCCCAAGGAAUCAAAAUAGCAAAAAUACUGCCUCCUUAUCAAUACCUCCGGUAAAAUUCUUAUCAGCAUGUGUUGUGAUUGGCUCCUGUGUAUAAAGAUAUAAGUGAAAAUGAAGACUUAUUAAGCCUUCUGUGCAUGCAAUCAAAACGAUGAAUUGAUCCCUCAGCAAAGAUUUCUUACAAUCAGCAUUGCUACUUUCAUUGAAAUUAUAAUUGUACAUUUAUGAUCAUUGAUACAAAUGAAAUAAUGUCAGUCAAUGACGUAAAUGCAUUCAGAUGACAUACCUAAGGCAGGUAACACCGGUAUUUGCUGAGUUAACUCAUUCAGGGGUAGCAUGAGAAUUUUCAAGUUUGUUAUAUGUAGCGUCAUAGCUUUAUGUAGGGUCUCAUUUGAUUCUGAGGCCUUUUUAUGGGCCUCCUGGUACUUGUUAGCUUCUCGCGUGAGGUCUGUAGCAACAAUUGAAGGUGGCCGACUCCCCAUCACCUCCUGAUAUUCUUUCUCUGCUACCUCUUCUGCCUGAAAAUAAAACACAAGAGAACGAUAAAAGAAUAUUUUAAUAUUAGAGUAAGAAGCAGUACUCCUAACUACAUGGACUGUUACAUUAGCCUGAGGAGUGGGUGACUGUGAGUAAAAAAUGUGAUACUAAAACUGUCUGCUCUAGUAAGAGGUGGAAAAAUUCAGUGUUGAUAACCUAACAAGAAAAUACAAGAAAAAUACACUAAAACAAGAGUAUACUAGGCUAAAUGCCAAAAAAAGCUUAAUUUUCAUCUGCCUAUGUAUAUCCAUAUUUUAGUGUAUUUUUGUGUGUUUUAUUGUUGAAUCGGGCUAUUACAUUAUAUCUCUCUUAACCUGACGAGGCAACCUACUAAAAAAGAGGUUCACAAAACAUAAGUGAAACAAAAUUUAGACAUUAUUGUGCUAACUUUAAGGGUAUUUGAAAAGUUUUUGAAUAAAUUAAAAAAAGGAAAAGU